This 46-nucleotide ribosomal RNA is filed under the name Cadophora cf. interclivum. RNAcentral's name for it is "partial 28S ribosomal RNA". The record is from RNAcentral. Lineage: Eukaryota; Fungi; Ascomycota; Leotiomycetes; Helotiales; Ploettnerulaceae.
GGUUGCCCUCGGAUCAGGUAGGGAUACCCGCUGAACUUAAGCAUAU